GCGCCUUGCCAGCCCGCUCAGAAACUUAAAGGAAUUGACGGGGCCCGCACAAGCGGAGGAACAUGUGGUUUAAUUCGAUGAUACGCGAGGAACCUUACCUGGGCUAGAACGCAUUCGGAAUCAGGCCGAAAGGCCUGCGCCAGCGAUGGCCGCUUGCGAGGUGCUGCAUGGUUGUCGUCAGCUCGUGCCGUGAGGUGUCGGGUUAAGUCCCAUAACGAGCGCAACCCCUACUGCUAGUUGCCAGCGGGUCAUGCCGGGGACUCUAGCGGAACUGCCAGCGUAAGCUGCGAGGAAGGUGGGGAUGACGUCAAAUCAGCACGGCCCUUACGUCCAGGGCUACACACGUGUUACAAUGGCCGGUACAGAGGGCAGCCACCCCGCGAGGGGGCGCGAAUCCCGAAAGCCGGUCCCAGUUCGGAUCGGAGUCUGCAACCCGACUCCGUGAAGCUGGAUUCGCUAGUAAUCGCGCAUCAGCCACGGCGCGGUGAAUACGUUCCCGGGCCUU
This 505-nucleotide ribosomal RNA is filed under the name uncultured Rikenellaceae bacterium. RNAcentral's name for it is "bacterial SSU rRNA". It matches the Rfam family "Bacterial small subunit ribosomal RNA", at positions 903 to 1382 of the family's 1533-position model. Lineage: Bacteria; Pseudomonadati; Bacteroidota; Bacteroidia; Bacteroidales; Rikenellaceae. The record is from RNAcentral.